This 449-nucleotide ribosomal RNA is filed under the name uncultured bacterium. RNAcentral's name for it is "partial 16S ribosomal RNA". It matches the Rfam family "Bacterial small subunit ribosomal RNA", at positions 29 to 523 of the family's 1533-position model. The record is from RNAcentral.
AGCGAACGCCGGCGGCAGGCCUAACACAUGCAAGUCGAACGAGGUCUUCGGACUUAGUGGCGGACGGGUGAGUAACACGUGGGAACGUACCUUUUGGUUCGGAACAACUCAGGGAAACUUGAGCUAAUACCGGAUGAGCCCUUAGGGGGAAAGAUUUAUCGCCGAAAGAGCGGCCCGCGUUAGAUUAGCUAGUUGGUGAGGUAAAGGCUCACCAAGGCUACGAUCUAUAGCUGGUCUGAGAGGAUGAUCAGCCACACUGGGACUGAGACACGGCCCUGACUCCUACGGGAGGCAGCAGUGGGGAAUCUUGCGCAAUGGGCGAAAGCCUGACGCAGCCAUGCCGCGUGAAUGAUGAAGGUCUUAGGAUUGUAAAAUUCUUUUACCAGGGACGAUAAUGACGGUACCUGGAGAAAAAGCCCCGGCUAACUUCGUGCCAGCCGCCGCCGUAA